UUUUGUAGAAGCAGUUUAUGGCCGGACAGACGUGUGAAGGCCAGCGACGUGGAAGACCUCAUCGCAGAGACGCUGAGAUUCACGCCUCACACAGGAGGAAAGGAACGACAGGCAACUUCGUGGAACUGACAGUGAAACUGGGCAAUCAUUCCUCUGAAGUGAUCUUUUGAAUUAUUGUAAACUCUCUGGGUUUCAAGUUCAGUAUCAGUUUUGGAAGCAUUUCUAAUAAACCUCAUGUGACCUCU
Molecule: long non-coding RNA, 245 nt
Organism: Acipenser ruthenus (sterlet)
Lineage: Eukaryota; Metazoa; Chordata; Actinopteri; Acipenseriformes; Acipenseridae
Exons: 2
Source: RefSeq, a predicted model, not a curated record